Molecule: long non-coding RNA, 884 nt
Organism: Panicum virgatum (switchgrass)
Lineage: Eukaryota; Viridiplantae; Streptophyta; Magnoliopsida; Poales; Poaceae
Exons: 6
Source: RefSeq, a predicted model, not a curated record
CGCGAGAAACGGAUCCUCUCCAGAGCAACAAGGCCAUACGGGGUGCUUUGCAGGCGGCCGGCGACAGGAUCUUCCACGGCGAGACCUUCGGCGGCACAAGCGACUACUGAAUCGACAAGUGCUUGGAUCGGCAUCCCACGUUGCCGGCGACCAUAGAAGGAUGGACCAGAACUUUGGCGAGGAUGGAUCCCAAAGCAAUGUCUUGUUUGCUUCCGACCAGUGCACAUUUCAUUUUGAUACUAGUCCAUCAAAUUUCCAAGAUUUAAACAUGCACCAGUACAAUUUUGUGAGCCCACAUCAACCGAUGCUCACCUCGCCCUAGGUAGUCUCUGAAACAGUAUGGAGUCAACCAGAUGUUCAAGAAAUUCCUUGUCCCCCUGCAGCAUCCAAGAAGGGGAAGGACAAGAAGGUAUCUAGGAGGGGUUCGAACUUUACAACAGAAGAAGAUGCAGUGAUAUGCUCGGCGUGGUUGAAUGUGACCACAGAUGCUGCAAUUGGAUGCAAUCAAACCGAAGGCGGUUUCUACAAGUGCAUACAUACCUAUUUCAAGCAGAACAAACCGCAAGGAAGUGAACACAGCCAGAUUGCCAUUCAAGGUAGAUGGAAAUUGAUCCAAAAAGCAGUGAGCAAGUUCUGUGCCUUCAAGGCCAUUAUCGAUCGUCGCAACGAGAGUGGGAAGAAUGAGGCCGAUAGGCAGAUCGAGGAUGCAGUGAAGAUGUUUGAGGAUAAAGAACCGUUCCAUUUCAUGCAUUGUUGGAAGAUACUUAAGGAUCAAGCAAAGUGGAAUGACAAGCUUCUUGAGCAUAGCGGCGGGAAUGCAACAACAGAUGGGAACACAGUUGACUCUCAAGGGCAAAUGCCUUCAGGUAAUAACAAUGUGCCAG